This 243-nucleotide ribosomal RNA is filed under the name uncultured bacterium. RNAcentral's name for it is "partial 16S ribosomal RNA". It matches the Rfam family "Bacterial small subunit ribosomal RNA", at positions 524 to 767 of the family's 1533-position model. The record is from RNAcentral.
UACGAAGGGGGCUAGCGUUGCUCGGAAUUACUGGGCGUAAAGCGCGCGUAGGCGGGUCGUUAAGUCGGGGGUGAAAUCCUGGAGCUCAACUCCAGAACUGCCUUCGAUACUGGCGAUCUUGAGUCCGGGAGAGGUGAGUGGAACUCCGAGUGUAGAGGUGAAAUUCGUAGAUAUUCGGAAGAACACCAGUGGCGAAGGCGGCUCACUGCCCGGUACUGACGCUGAGGUGCGAAAGCGUGGGGA